This 526-nucleotide non-coding RNA is filed under the name Pan troglodytes (chimpanzee). Lineage: Eukaryota; Metazoa; Chordata; Mammalia; Primates; Hominidae. The record is from RNAcentral.
UUCUUCCGGCCGCUCUGACCCCGGGGCUGCGGCUCCGAGAUAGCUCAGGGCCUGGAAGUGCAUGCUGGGACCAACUACAUAAUCCUUGGUAAGAAAAGGAGGUGGCCCUGACAAGUGCAACUCGAGAAAUGCAAUGCUGUAGAGUCCAAAGGUGUCUGACUUGAACGAAAUGAUCCCACUGGGGGACAAUGCAACAUAUACUCCAGGGUCAGGUUUUGUCAUGAUGCAGCAAGGAGAUCUGUUCCUAACUUGGACUUGGUUGUCUAACCCUCAUCUCUUCUCUUUAUUACAAGGUGAACUGGAACUUACACCUUGCUUCUCCUGUUCUCAGGAUACUUGGACUGGAACUAUACCACCAGCUGUCUCGGAUCUCUGGCUUGCAGAUGGCACAUCAUGGGACUUCUCAGUCUCCAUCACUGCAUGAGCCAAUUCCUUAUAAUAAAUCUCUGUCUCUCUCAUUAUACAUAUCUUGGAGAACCCUCAGGAACCUUGACUAAUACACAAGAUAAAUUCAGUUUUAAUUGUA